GACGAACGCUGGCGGCGUGCUUAACACAUGCAAGUCGUACGGGCUUGAGGGGCAACUCUCAAGUCAGUGGCGAACGGGUGCGUAACACGUGAGCAACUUGCCCUAAGGUGGGGGAUAGCC
This 120-nucleotide ribosomal RNA is filed under the name uncultured bacterium. RNAcentral's name for it is "partial 16S ribosomal RNA". It matches the Rfam family "Bacterial small subunit ribosomal RNA", at positions 28 to 148 of the family's 1533-position model. The record is from RNAcentral.